Long non-coding RNA from Hyla sarda, 428 nucleotides. RefSeq lists it as uncharacterized. The record is from RefSeq and is a predicted model, not a curated record. The transcript has 3 exons. Lineage: Eukaryota; Metazoa; Chordata; Amphibia; Anura; Hylidae.
UUCAGUCCGGCCAGGAACAGGAAACUGAAUCUCCUGUACCACGCGGUACCCGGACUGAGUGACAGCCAGGAGGUCAAGGAGCUCGGCCACGCUACAGGGUCCAUGGAAGGAGCCGGAGGAGUACCAGGAUCUGAUGACGAAAAAGCUUAAUGAAAGAUUUUGUUGAGAAAUAAACUCUUGGCAGAGAGAAGAGAUAUUAAAUUUUCUCAGGUUCUCAUGACGUAUUGUCUCAUUUUCAAAGGAAGCAAUUGCUGACAGUCUCUGAAUAUAUGGAAUGGAAGCUCCAUUGAGUGGAUCCAAGUAACCUGAAAAGACUGAGUGCAAAAAUCCUUAAUAUAGGAAAAUAUUUCUGUUCAAUAAAUGGAGUUCUGAAAAUCAUGGAAACAUUAAAGAGUACCGGUCACCAACUAAAACUUUUAAUAUAUUGU